Molecule: ribosomal RNA, 253 nt
Filed under: uncultured bacterium
Lineage: Bacteria
Description: partial 16S ribosomal RNA
Rfam family: Bacterial small subunit ribosomal RNA
Source: RNAcentral
UACAGAGGAGCCAAGCGUUGUCCGGAUUGACUGGGCGUAAAGUGCACGCAGGCGGACGCGCGCGUGGGGUGUGAAAUCUGGCCGCUUAACGGCCAGGCGCCAUCCCAUACGGCGUGUCUGGAGUGAUGCAGAGGUCGAUGGAAUUGCCGGUGUAGUGGUGAAAUGCGUAGAGAUCGGCAGGAACACCCAGGGGGAAACCAGUCGACUGGGCAUCUACUGACGCUGAGGUGCGAGAGCGUGGGGAGCGAACCGG